AUUACAGGUGCUUGGCUUUGCGUCUCCUUUUUGUUUGACCAUGGAUUUUGGUUUGGGAUGGCUGAUUGAGGUAUUGACUACCUUUUUCCAAGUCCAGUAACUUUAAAAGGAAAGUUUUGAUUCUUUUUGAAUCGUGCAUUAGUGUGCUGCACUAACAUCAUACGAGCAUGCAUUAGACCGGUCGCAUUCCUCCUCCCCAGAAAAGGGGCCACGUGUGAUAGUGUGGACCCAUCUAGCACUAUGCAUGAAUGGCUCAGUGCACCUAUACAAUUUAUUUUUAGAUUGGAUGCU
This 291-nucleotide long non-coding RNA is filed under the name Elaeis guineensis (African oil palm). RNAcentral describes it as "long non-coding RNA (EGUI_LNC045453)". The record is from RNAcentral. Lineage: Eukaryota; Viridiplantae; Streptophyta; Magnoliopsida; Arecales; Arecaceae.